CCUACGGGGGGCUGCAGUCGAGAAUCUUCGGCAAUGGGCGCAAGCCUGACCGAGCGACGCCGCGUGCGGGAUGAAGGUCUUCGGAUUGUAAACCGCUGUCGGAGGGGAUGAAGUGUACGGGGGCUAUCCCCUGUAUUUGACAGAGCCUCGGAGGAAGCACGGGCUAAGUUCGUGCCAGCAGCCGCGGUAAUACGAACUGUGCGAACGUUAUUCGGAAUCACUGGGCUUAAAGGGUGCGUAGGCGGUUUGUUAAGUCAGGUGUGAAAUCCCCCGGCUCAACCGGGGAACAGCGCUUGAAACUAGCAGACUAGAGUGAGGUAAGGGACCACGGAACUUCUGGUGGAGCGGUGAAAUGUGUAGAUAUCAGAAGGAACGCCGGUGGCGAAAGCGGUGGUCUGGGCCUUGUCUGACGCUGAGGCACGAAAGCUAGGGGAGCGAACGGGCUUAGAUACCCCAGUAGUC
Molecule: ribosomal RNA, 462 nt
Filed under: uncultured Planctomyces sp.
Lineage: Bacteria; Pseudomonadati; Planctomycetota; Planctomycetia; Planctomycetales; Planctomycetaceae
Description: bacterial SSU rRNA
Rfam family: Bacterial small subunit ribosomal RNA
Source: RNAcentral